ACAUAGGUUUUACUAAAAACCAUAUUUACAAAUUUUACUUCAAAAU
Solanum lycopersicum (tomato) is the source of this 46-nucleotide non-coding RNA. NCBI's taxonomy places the organism in Eukaryota, Viridiplantae, Streptophyta, Magnoliopsida, Solanales, Solanaceae. The record is from Rfam.